This is a long non-coding RNA of Bombus impatiens (common eastern bumble bee), 917 nucleotides long. RefSeq lists it as uncharacterized. The record is from RefSeq and is a predicted model, not a curated record. NCBI's taxonomy places the organism in Eukaryota, Metazoa, Arthropoda, Insecta, Hymenoptera, Apidae. The transcript is spliced from 2 exons.
AAGUAAAUAAUUCCAACCCAGAAAAUCACCUUAUAAACGCCAAACAGCUAAUAAAACUGCACUAACCGCAGGCCCCUCUUACGCUGACAAUUUGCUAAAAAAUGCCAUCACACUGAGCUGCGCAGGAUCGACUCGAUGUUAUUUCUCUGCGGAAACAGCGACGACAUCUUCAUUCAAGGAGCCACUAGCUUCGAGAGAGCUAUGGUGCCGAUUCAUCGUGUGCACAAUUCGUCUCGUUCCUAUUCACUCGCACGAAAAACGGAGUCAAUGGGCCGUCGUCCUUGUGUUCGUUCCGGCUCCAGGCUUAUUAUUAUGGCCCGAAUUAUUUCGGCAAUAGCGGCCAGUAGCUACAGGUGCACCCGUUCAUGGAUACGUCGUUCAGGACACAUUCAGCGACAUUCGGUCAUUGAGAAGAGAAGUUUUUGCCGAUGACGAAUCGUAGGAAGCGACCGAUCCUCUGGGGAGGAAGCGUAAAAAGGAUCUGCCGGCAUUCAACGAUCCGUUCGUCCAGAACGGCCGACUCCCAUCGAUGGAAAGCAUCCUGAUUCUCCUUUUACAUCGAAUAAUCGAGCAACGGUGUAAUUGUGAAGUUGGAAGCACGCUGUUCACCGACAAUGUGCACAUUUGUCAGGAGAACAGUAUCGAUGAGCACUUCAUUUCUCGAGAUCGUGGAAAGUCCUCGAAAGCACACGCCCAGGUUAUUCCAGCUGUGAUUUGGAAAGUCUUGUAUGGUGUUUUGGAUUUAUUUGAGUUUUGUAUAAUUCAUAUGUUGGUAUCUUUGUUGUGUAUUCCUGGAAUUUAGAAAUGUUUCUUUGUUAGAAAUUGGGUAUUAAGUUACUGGUGAAUGAUGGUUAUUGGAUGAAUCUGAGGAUGUAAGUUAUGGUUCAUGUUGUAAAAAUAUGUACGUUAGUAACAAU